Non-coding RNA from Amborella trichopoda, 3556 nucleotides. The record is from RefSeq and is a predicted model, not a curated record. Lineage: Eukaryota; Viridiplantae; Streptophyta; Magnoliopsida; Amborellales; Amborellaceae.
CUUUGAAAAAUGUGAGCGGCUCUCUCUCUCUUCCAAAUCAUGGGUUUUAUCUCUCCUCAAAACGCGAGUGGCUCUCUCUUCAAGGGAUUUUUAACAGGGAUUUCUCUCUCUCCUCAAAACCAGGGAUUUUCUCUCUCCUCCCUGGUUUUCUAGCCUCUUCCUCGUCCCUGUGCCAAGCCUCUCCUCCCUGGUUUUCUCUCUCUCUCCUCCCUGAUUUUCUACCUCUCGCUUAGCCCAUUAAUAGGCGCUUAGCCCCUCUCGCGCAUCUUGCCUCUCCCUCCCUGUGCCAAGCCCCUCUCGCUCUCUCUGCCCUUCCUGCUACUGGCGCACCCUCUCCGCUUCUCGCUCCCCUAAUCGCUCAGAUCAUCCCAUCGGCCCCUUGUCUUCCCUAUCCAAAGGCUCGUCCCUCAGGUUCCCUAUUGAUAGGCGCUGUGCCCCUUGAGCACCAUCUCGCGCAAUGUCUCUGCCCUUCGAGGACCAUCUCACACAGGCCUGAUACACGACAUAUAUUUGUUGGUGUUGGACUUGGAUUUCAUGUAGAAUUUACGUAGUCUGAAGCUUUGUAGUUUAUAUCCAUAAAGGAAGCAAGACUUGACCGGUAAAUCGACCUCUACUUUUAUUCUUGAACUUGAAGCUUCAGUUGGCGGAACUCAUGCAUUUGGAUCACAUGUUUGUAACCUUUGUGUGUUUGAAUUCAAUCUAGAAAUGACCACUAACCUUCAUAAAUUAUUAUUUUUAGCAAUUUAAUUCCAAUUUCAGUAUCUUCGUUGUCAAAGUUUGUUUUGUCUUGAUAUUGAACCAUCCAUUGAAACAUGAUAUUAAAAGUAUAUUAUGUAUGAUUGUUUGAAUUUGAUAUUGAACCAUCUAUUGAAACAUGAUUAAGUACGCAUCAAAUUAUCCCCUACGUAAUACAUAUAAGUAUGUGAAGGGAAAAUUGAGGGUCAGUUUGGAUGUAAUCAAAAUCCUCAUUUUUAUUAAUGAUUGUUUGAAAAUCUAUGCAAAAGGGUUAAAAGUAUAUUAUGAAUGAUUGUUUGAAAAUGUAUUCUUGUAGUUUGCAGUUUCACGUUGGGUAAGUAAAGAAAUUGAGAUGGAUCCCACGAAUUCAGUCGGUGUGACAUCUAGCACAUGCCCAAAUAUAGGCAGCAACAUUGAUGAAAUCCUUGAUGAUGGUUGUGGCUCAUCAAACAAAGGCCAUGAAAUAGAAGAAUCAUGUGUAGAAAUGAUGCUUGGAUCAGAGGAUGAUGCAUAUGAGUUCUUUAAGUCUUAUGCAUUGACCAAAGGUUUUGGUAUUCAUAGGGGGAGUACUCAUAACGAGAAAGGUAAAAGGAUCGAUAGGGCUUAUAUUUGCUUGAAGGAAGGGUUUAAACAAGAAAAACCUAAUAAAAGUAGAAAGGUUUACCCUGAGUUAAGGUGUGGGUGCAAGGUUAGGAUGUGCAUAAGUAGUUAAGAAGACAGCGAGUGGAAAGUGACUAACGUUGUUAAAGAUCAUAAUCACGAUCUAAUUACUCCGAGAAAAGCUUGUUUAAUUCGCACACACCGAUCAUUGUCGAGUGCUAUGAAGUCAUUGAUACAUUCAAUGAGCUCGGUAAUGGUUAAGCUUAGAACAUUCAUGAUAUAUUCAUAGAGCAGGUUGGAGGGAUUGAUAAUGUCCCUUGUAUCCAAAAUGAAAUAGCAAGUGCUAGAAGAAAAAUUAGAGGAGAAGAAGCUAAUUUAAUUUUGCAAUGGCUGUAUAAAAAGAACCAAUCGAACCCAUCAUUUUUCUAUAGAUUGAGAUUAGAUGAUGAUGAUCACAUUCAUAGUAUCUUAUGAGUAGAUUCUACAUCUAAAGUUUCCUAUCAGUGCUUUUUUGACAUGGUUACCUUUAAUACCACAAACAAGACAAAUAUGUUUGGUAUGCCCUUUGCACCUAUACUAGGUGUAAAUCACUAUUUAAGUACAACCUUAUUUGGAUUUGCACUCAUAUUUGACGAGAAUAUAUAAUCAUUUAUAUGGGUAUUUGAAAACUGGUUGGAAGCCAUGGGUGGACGGCAACCAAGUGUUAUUCUUACUGAUCAAGAUCCGACAAUUUCAUAUGCAGUGAGACAAGUUCUUUACCAAAGUAAGUAUCAUUAUCGUAAAUGGCACAUAUUUGCGAAAAUCAAAGAAAAAUGUGUUAUAUCUUACAUAUGUAUCCUUUUUAUUCAGAUACCUUUUGGAGGUUGUGGCUAGCCCAACAAUUGAAGAAUUUGAAUUGGGAUGGAAAUCAAUGAUUGAGAAUUAUAAGUCGGAAGACAAUGAAUGGCUCGGGAGGCUUUAUAGUUGUCGCAUGCAAUGGGUUGAUGCAUACUUGGCUGGCACGUUCAUUGCGGGUAUGACCUCUACUCAAAGGAGUGAAGGGAUGAAUACAUACUUCAAGACGUACUUGACACCCAGAACAAGCUUGCGUACAUUAUUAGAAGUUGUCGCAAAAGUCCAAGACAAAAAGUUAUCACUUGGCAUAUACUGAAGAAUUUUAAGGUGAAAGAUGUGCUUGAAAUCCCUCAAAAACAUAUAAUGAAGUGUUGGACCAAGGAUGUAAAGAAGCUAAUUUUUGUUGAUGACAUUGGGGAACAAAUUCAAGUAACAUCCGAACUACCACGCUCCAUUAGAUAUAAUGAGGCUAUGCAAACAAGUCGAUCCCUUGCCGAGCGUGAUUCACAAAGUGUAGAGGGCCAUAAGUUUGUAAUGUCCAUAAUACAAAAUGGAAUUCAUAAGUUUGAUGAAAGGUUUUUGUGCAAGAGAUGUCUACAGGAUAAUGCCAUGAGUCAUGUGAAUGAAGAUGACAAUUCUGGUAGUUGUAGUAACACAUCAAGUAGAAGUAACCAUUGUCGCAAUGUCUUUGAACCUACACGAGCACAGACAAAGGGACAACCGGCCACUAAAUGAUUGAAAGCUCAUUUUGGGGGAUGGAAGCCGAAGAUACAUAAAAGAAGGAAAUGCGCAGUCUACAAUAACAGUGGACAUGACAAAAGGAGCUGUCCGUCCUUCGUUUGUGAUAGUGCUAAGGAUAAAACACAUCGAAAGCUUCAGACCCAUAAGAAGGCAACAUAUGUGUGUUGAUGGUAAGAAGCAAUUUCUUGGAUGGCAUGUUUGCAAGUUCAUUUUGAAAUAUUUUUAGAUGCGUGUAAGUUCACAUUUGUAAUUUCAUUUGGAACACUAUUGUUACUUAUCAUAAUAUGUUUUAUGUCUCAAAUAGAGAGGACAAAUUCAUAUUGAACAACUUCAAAGGAGGGGUUAUGUUGUUUUUUUUUUUUGAAAAUUUUGUUAUUAAACUUUUGACAUUAUUGAUGUAGGUUGUAGGCCAUUCACUCAAAAAAAUGAUAUAGGUUGUAUGCCAUUGUAAUCUUUUCACUUCUUUUUGGGUUGUAAGGUGUUAUGUAAGGUGAUUGGGUACAAGGAACGAACCAUUAUUUGACAAUGGGAAGGACUACUGAACUUUAUAUAAACAAUUUUGUUAUUGAAUGGACUACCCCAUGUGGCAGGUAGUUGAUGAAUUGUAUGUAAUAUUAUAGUUAUCAAAUUCAAUGUAUUAUCACUA